GAUCCUGGCUCAGGAUGAACGCUAGCUACAGGCUUAACACAUGCAAGUCGCGGGGCAGCAUAGGGUUUCAGCAAUGAAAUUCGGAUGGCGACCGGCGCACGGGUGAGUAACACGUAUCCAACCUGCCCUUUACUCGGGGAUAGCCUUGCGAAAGUAAGAUUAAUACCCGAUGGCAUUGGAUUUCCGCAUGGGGAUUCAAUUAAAGGUGAAAAAUUGGUAAAGGAUGGGGAUGCGUUCCAUUAGGCAG
This 247-nucleotide ribosomal RNA is filed under the name uncultured bacterium. RNAcentral describes it as "partial 16S ribosomal RNA". It matches the Rfam family "Bacterial small subunit ribosomal RNA", at positions 15 to 248 of the family's 1533-position model. The record is from RNAcentral.